GCCGUUGGUGCGGCAGAGUCGGAGCGGCGGCGGCCGGCGCGGCCCCGGGGAGAGGGCUCUGACGAGAGAGGGACCGACAGACCCACGGCGAGGGAGGAGCCAACCCCCGGCAAAGGAGCGGCCACGGCGAGAGAGGAACCGAGCCCUGGCAAGGGAUUGUCUGACCCCCUGCGAGGGAGUGAGCCCCGGAUAAAAAAAGUCUAAAUGUGUGAGUCAAACCAAAAGCUUGCUUUAUUUAUAGAUGACGGAUACACAUUUACUUUAUGGCUACUGGACAGCAGAACGUAAAAAACUAGGCAUCCAAAACUGAACUCCCAGAACCCAGAGGAAAGCCAGAGAUUCUGAGGGACCGCAGAGUUCCAGGACCCUGCGUACCAGGAAAGGGUGGCGGUGCCAUAGGGCAGGACAUUGACACUGCUGAAACAAUCGAUCCUCCAGGCACAAAGGCAGCAGCGUUUCCAUGGGCAGCUGAGUGUGUGGAGCAGGCAGUGCAGGAGCAGGAAGAGGAAGAAGGAGGAGACCCUUAAGAGACGACUGCCUGCACCCUCAGAUGCGUGGGCCUCUGUAAGUUUUGUGCAGAACCUCCUGAUGCCUGAGCAUGCAGAUUGGCCCAGAAAAUUGCGAUGGCAAAACUGGAGUCCAGAGCCGUUCCAGGGGGUGUUUCCUGCAGCCACAAAGGCAGGGGCAAUUUCCUGGAGCUGUCACGUGCCUGUCCACGGCUUUGAGGAUG
Long non-coding RNA from Cyanistes caeruleus (blue tit), 730 nucleotides. RefSeq lists it as uncharacterized. The record is from RefSeq and is a predicted model, not a curated record. Lineage: Eukaryota; Metazoa; Chordata; Aves; Passeriformes; Paridae.